GAUGAAGAACGUAGCGAAAUGCGAUAAGUAAUGUGAAUUGCAGAAUUCAGUGAAUCAUCGAAUCUUUGAACGCACAUUGCGCCCGCCACUAUUCUGGCGGGCAUGCCUGUUCGAGCGUCAUUUCAACCAUCAAGCCCCCCGGCUUGUGUUGGGGACCUGCGGCUGCCGCAGGCCCUGAAAAGCAGUGGCGGGCUCGCUGUCACACCGAGCGUAGUAGCAUACAUCUCGCUCUGGGCGUGCUGCGGGUUCCGGCCGUUAAACCACCUUCAUAACCCAAGGUUGACCUCGGAUCAGGUAGGAAGACCCGCUGAACUUAAGCAUAUCAAUAAGCGGAGGA
Molecule: unclassified non-coding RNA, 337 nt
Filed under: soil metagenome
Description: partial contains 5.8S ribosomal RNA, internal transcribed spacer 2, and large subunit ribosomal RNA
Rfam family: 5.8S ribosomal RNA (bases 1-120)
Source: RNAcentral